AUUGAACGCUGGCGGCAUGCCUUUACACAUGCAAGUCAAACGCGAAAGUGGGGGCAACCCUGCGAGUAGAGUGGCGAACGGGUGAGUAAACACAUCGGAAACGUACCCAGGAGUGGGGGACAACCUCGAGAAAUCGAGGCUAAUACCGCAUACGUCCUGAGGGAGAAAGCGGGGGAUCUGCAAGGACCUCGCGCUCAUGGAGCGGCCGAUGUCGGAUUAGCUAGUUGGCGGGGUAAGAGCCCACCAAGGCUACGAUCCGUAGCUGGUUUGAGAGAACGGCCAGCCACACUGGGACUGAGACACGGCCCAGACUCCUACGGGAGGCAGCAGU
This 331-nucleotide ribosomal RNA is filed under the name uncultured bacterium. RNAcentral's name for it is "bacterial SSU rRNA". It matches the Rfam family "Bacterial small subunit ribosomal RNA", at positions 29 to 355 of the family's 1533-position model. The record is from RNAcentral.